UGCUGCCUGCCUCUGUUAUGGAGCGGGGGAGAGGGCGGCAGGCAGCAACCCAACGGCCAACGGCAGGACUGGCGAAGAAUUCCUUCAUCGCCUUACGCGUCAACGGCCGUUCGACCGUUCAAAGUUUAAUCAAUUAGUAAUGGACAACGGACGCCGCAACUCGAGAGGACAGUGGACAAAGUCAAGGAUAAGGACAAACGGGCGUCCCGUGGUUCGAACGGAUUGCCUGGAUCCUGCGAUCAAUUGGUUGUUAAAUAACCAUGAUGAUGAGGGGCAGCAACCUGUUGCGGUAGGUGGACCCUUAGGAAUUGGGCUUGGCCUUCAGGAAGCUGACCAAAUCGCUCGAGACCAGACGCAAAGAAGACCUCAACCCUCACCCCUUAUCAAAGACUAAUUGUUAGCUGCAAGAAGUGAAGUGAGUGCGACGCAGGUGUGAGUUUCAAUUAUAAGAGCGUCCAUCGUAUUUGGGAAAUAUUCGGUUUCCUGGGAAUUCCCAGGAAAUUAAUUUAAUCAAUGCCAUUGGUAGAACUUGACAUAAAGAAUUUAAGGUGGUAUUAGGAGAAUAAUUUAAGCCUGGGUGAACAUAACUAUGUGUAUGUUUAUUUUUAUAUGUAUGGUUUUAAUUAAUUUUUUAGGUUUAUUACCCUAUAUUUUCACAAGUAUGAGUCUUUUAAGUUUACCUGGAGUCUAUCUUUACCUGUAUGAUAAGCUUUAAUAUUUUAUGGCUGAAUUAAUAAUACUCAACACAUAUUCCCCCAUUUCAUGCCUCAGGGCACUCCAGGAGUGCUAAUACCAUUUAUGGUUUUGUAUUGAAAAAAUUAGUAAAAUGUAAUUCAACCACAAACAUUAGCUGUUGAAUUUUCUGCUUAUAUAAUUAUAGGACAUUUAUUGAUAAUUUUAAUGGGUAAUACAGGUAGUGGCCUUAGAAGUUUCAUAGUAUCUCUUUUGAUUUUGGGUCAAAUUGGUUAAUUAAUUCCCUGCUGGAAAUUUGGAUCCCGAGCUGAAGUAUAAGCGGUUAUAUGAGAAUCGGGCCAGGCUCAGGUAUUAUUUUCGGGACAGGCAUCCCGAUGAGCAGCUCCAGGGCUGAAGCAAAGCCGCUGUGGAUAUAAGGGAUAUAAACAAUCAUAAACAUAUCCGACAUAUCCAUGAAAAUAUGCGGAUUCGAUCUCCAAAUUUUGGAUGUCUAUUUAAGGGGUUUUUUGGCAUCAAAAUUUGAAGGAGAAACUUAUGUUUGCUUAAAAGUGCUUGUAAAAUAGAUCGAGAAAUGCCAGGUUUGAAACUCGGGAAUGGGGGACGCGGUCUAAGAGCUACAGUCCACCUUUCAUUCACAGAUAACUCGAUUUUCGGGGAUUUUAGAAAUAACGAAUAAAUAGGGAUUCUCGAGCUUCAAACCUGGAAUUUCACCAUCUUUUUAAACAAUCAGUUUUUUCCAAUUUAUUAAGCAACUAUAAGUGUCAAGAAAAAUUCCCCGGCCAAUAAAUAAACAAUCAAAAUUUUCUUGAUUCCCUCCCCUGGUGCAUGUUAUCAAAUUUAGCCAUCUGCAGGCAGUUUCAAUCGAAUUUUGAAAUUUGGAGGGCGAUAGUGCAUUGGACGGGAUUUUCGGCGUGGAAAUUUUUUCUUGCCACUUAUAGUUGCUUAAUUAAUUGGAAAAAACCAGAUUGAUUUUAAAGAUGGUGAAAUUUCAGGUUUGAUGCUCGGGAAUCCCUAUUUAUUCGUUAUUUAAAAAUCCCCGAAGAUCGAGCUAUCUCUGAAUGAAAGGUGGACUGUAACUCUAAGACUGCGUCCCCCAUUCCUGAGUUUCAAACCUGGAAUUUCUCGAUCCAUUUUAUAAGUACUUUUAAGCAAACAUAAGUGUCUCCUUAAAAUUUCGAUGCCAAAAUAUCCCGUCCAAUCGACUUUAAAAAUUUGAAGCUCGAAUUCGCCUGGAACUGCUCAUCGGGAUUCCUGUCCCGAAAAAAAUCCCCGAUCCUAGCCCGAUUCUCAUAUAACUGCUUAAUAUUUCUGCUCAGGAUCCAAAUUUCCUGGAAAUUCCCGGAUAACCAAAAAUUUCUCGAUCCCAAUGGACGCUCUAAUAAGUGUCAUAUACAGUAGAAUGUUACCCCUGGCGCCAGUAUAUUGCCGGCGUCGAAUUCUUUGGACUGAUGAAUUUAAAAGAUGAUAUGCGAUGCCACAUGAUAACUUAAUAUAUAAAUAAUAUUUAUGUAAGGCUGUGGUAUGAACCUGCUGAUGGGUCUUUGAAAAAAGUAAGAAAUAAAAAUGAUGAAAUAUCAGUAAUACUAA
Molecule: long non-coding RNA, 2280 nt
Organism: Cloeon dipterum
Lineage: Eukaryota; Metazoa; Arthropoda; Insecta; Ephemeroptera; Baetidae
Exons: 2
Source: RefSeq, a predicted model, not a curated record